This 425-nucleotide ribosomal RNA is filed under the name uncultured prokaryote. Its description in RNAcentral is "bacterial SSU rRNA". It matches the Rfam family "Bacterial small subunit ribosomal RNA", at positions 355 to 774 of the family's 1533-position model. The record is from RNAcentral.
UGGGGAAUCAUGGUCAAUGGGCGAAAGCCUGAACCUGCGACGCCGCGUGAGUGAUGAAGGUCGUAAGAUCGUAAAACUCUUUUCAGGGAUCUUAAAGCACAACCGUCAACAACGGCUGUGUGUGACUCUCCCUGGAAGAAGCCCCAGCCAACUACGUGCCAGCAGCUGCAGUAAUACGUAGGGGGCGAGCGUUAUUCGGAAUUACUGGGUGUAAAGGGUAUGUAGGCGGCCCUUCAAGUCGCGUGUCAAAGUCCAGUGCUCAACGCUGGGUGUGCGCGCGAUACUGACGGGCUUGAGGGCUGGAGAGGUGAGCGGAAUUCCCGGUGUAGAGGUGAAAUUCGUAGAGAUCGGGAGGAAUAUCAGUGGCGAAGGCGCCCAUCUGGACGGUAACUGACGCUGAGACGCGAAAGCGUGGGGAGCAAACA